Ictalurus punctatus (channel catfish) is the source of this 466-nucleotide long non-coding RNA. RefSeq lists it as uncharacterized. The record is from RefSeq and is a predicted model, not a curated record. NCBI's taxonomy places the organism in Eukaryota, Metazoa, Chordata, Actinopteri, Siluriformes, Ictaluridae. The transcript has 2 exons.
AUUAACACCAUUCUACAGGUCCCGCCUUGAUAGACAGGUGACAACGGGAGGGUUUUUUUUUUUUUUUUUACUGCGCAGACGGCACACACAGCCAAAGCGAGGAGAGAAAAGGAGACAGAAAAAAAUAGAAAAAGCCCCAAUUAUAAUUAUAUAUUAUAAUUAACUGUUUGAAAGAGUGAGACCAAAAGUGGAAACAAUACUACUGCCAGUUGGAGUGCUGAGGAACUUCAGUUUGUAGUUUUAUCCAACGUGAAACCUGGUCAGGUUUUUUGAUUCCAUGGGAGGAAGUUUACAACAAUUUUUCAACAGUCUGAUGGCGAGCCACCCAACCAGAACCACUGUGUCUUGAAGGACGGUAUUUUUAUUUUAAAUUGUUUUGGUUUUUCUGCAAAGGACUACAAAUGAAAAUACUCUAGAGGAGUACCUUCAUCCAUAGUAAAAGAAAUUGCAGAGACAUUGAAAGACA